Molecule: long non-coding RNA, 2528 nt
Filed under: Oryza sativa (Asian cultivated rice)
Lineage: Eukaryota; Viridiplantae; Streptophyta; Magnoliopsida; Poales; Poaceae
Description: long non-coding RNA (OSAT_LNC000705)
Source: RNAcentral
AAGAAAACAAAAUAAACCAAGAAGCUACUGUAGUACAUCCGACAAAAGUGGCAAACAACAAGCAAGACAAGAUUAUCCCUGAUGAUGAUUAACUGUUUACCAACUCAAAGUGCACCAGACUGCAUCGGAUUAAAAUUGCGAGUUGGGCUUCCUGCACGGCUUCGUCCUGGAAGAUUCUCCACUUGGUAAGUCAGUAACUCAGAUUACGUUCAGCCUCUUUCUCUUUUCAUUUUCCUGAUGAGAACAUAGCAUUGUGGUUAGCACCAUAAAAAAACAGAAUAGUAAGCAAUCCAUGAAGGAAAUUUCUAUUUUAACCUAUGGAUGAUCAUAUCUAUCUAUCUAAGUGAAAAGUAAAACUCAAAAAGCAACCAGAAUUAGCCACAUCAUCCGUCAAAUAAUAGCCGUUGGAUUCACAAAAUGAUAAAAUAGCAAGGAAAAAUCCUAGCCAUUGAAAUGAGGAAUCUUCUAGAAGUGGUAAAAUACAUAGAGAAGGAAGAGUUUGAGCCACUCAUUGCCUCUCAUUGUAAUCUCAUGUUGGCCUCCCAAACAGGCUUGGCUUGGCCAAUCAACCCAAACGGUCCUUAGACUAGAUGACUAAUUAAAUAAUUUUAGAAAAUUAACAUCUAAUUAUUGAUUUAACUGAAUGGUGGAAAUUUUAUUGUUAAUUACAAUAACGAUUAAUAGAUAGGAAGGUUAUUGUCGCGCGAACGUGCGACUUCAUUCACUAGUUAUUGUGAAAAGGUUGCAAUAUCAAGUCUUUGAUUCUCUAGCCCAUAGGACAUGGAUUAUAUAUGCUCUAUCUCAAAAUUCAAACCAACAACCAAACAAUAUCCCCUUUUGUUUUGGAUUGCCUAAGGUUGACAAAGGGAUUAAUUCUACACUAUGGUGAGUUGGUGAUGGUAACAUCAGUUUUGCUUUUUUUUUAACCUUUUCUCUCUUCCAAAGUACUUUUCAGAAGUCUAAAAGGUUAAAAGAGCAUGGGAGAAUAACAUGUACAUGGAAAAUCACACCUAAAAAUUAAGAAAAUAUAUUAUUACUUGAACCAUCAGUGGUAUGAGAUAGAAAAUGUUAUCUCAAAAAAAGUAUGAAAUAGAAAUGAGAGGAUGAGAUUUUACCAAAUAAUUUCAGCAGAGAUCAAAGCAAGGCAGUUAGAAGCAUACAGAAUGACCCAGUACUUUAAAAGGCAUUAAUUCCUCACCUAAUGGCAGCCGCGAUCUUUCAUGUAGGAACAUUCCCUCUUAGCAUCCUGUAAGUUGACUUCUGUUAAGCGUUGAUGUGGACUUCUUAUUACAGUGAAUAAUAUUUGCCUGCUUUGUUCAGUGAAUUGACCUUAGUGGGUGCUGAAUCAGGAGAUCCUACCUAACUGAAUCUGCAAUAAGAAACCCGAUCGCAAGGAACUGUAGUCACAAGAAUUCUUGGCUACUGCCAUCUGUAUCCUCCUCUUAACAGCAGUAGUACAGGAGUGAGCAUACCGAUUAUGUAAACUCAGUUAAGCAUGAAUGAAAUGGAGAACACGUAAAGCACAAUAUAUCCUUUCCUGUUCUCAUAUCUUCCUUAACUGUAUGCCUUUUUUAGUAACAACAAAUCCCAUAUUUUGUGCAUGGCCUUUUUGAGAAUAUUUUUUUCUGACUUUACAUAAAACAUUGCUCUUCAUAUAAGCAUGUGCAAUAAAGAAAUGGACUAUAAGCAUAGGAAGGAAUGUGCAGGCUCCUAGUACUAGGGCACAACACAAUCAUAGGCCUAUAAUUUGCAGUUGAGAAAGCAAGAUCAGGUGGCUAAUGACCCAAUCUGAUGAAAUAGAUUCAUCUAGCUUGCUGCAGCCUCAAACCUCUGAUGCUAGCUAAGAUAGAGACAAGAAUGACAUAUACAUCACAUAUUUUGGCUUGAGCUGCCCCCCACAUUACCCAUCCCAAUCAUUAAAAAACAAAAAGGAGAAUGGCAUAUGGUUCUUACUGUUUGUAGUGGGGCUAUCACAGUAGAACCCCAGAGGCAAACCUUUUUCUUAAAUAAAAAAGAGAUGCAAACGUUUUUCAUUAGAGGUCAGUUUUAGUUGACUUUUGAUUUUCUCUACCCCCAUCUUUAUUUUGUAUUGUUGAGAAGGUAUCAACUGUGCUCCAUAUUACAAAAGCAUCAAGCAUACUGGCAAAGGUACCCGCCUUUAUUGGCAAGUAAACCUAGAGAAAAGCACACUCACCUCAAAUGAGGAAAAAAAAGAUUAUAGUUUCCAUACUGGUUUAGUAGCAUUCAUUCACAUAGCUAAACAUGUAAACAGGACCAAUUUCACUAGGAAAUAUUGUAUCAUGGCUGAGACAAUUUCUUUUUACACAAAAUCAGGAACAUUUCUGAUUUGUAUUUCACCACUGUACUCUUCUUAUUGAUGUGGGGAGUAUUUCCUUUUUUACAAAAGAAAAAGAAUCAGAUGGUGUUCCUAAUAAGCGCCUAGACUAAUUCAAGGGUUUGCAUUUAGCAGUUGAUUUAACUGUAGCAGCAACACGGUAAGAACAUUUGUUGCAAGUUAGUAUCUGUAC